This 369-nucleotide long non-coding RNA is filed under the name Salvia miltiorrhiza (redroot sage). Its description in RNAcentral is "long non-coding RNA (SMIL_LNC003261)". The record is from RNAcentral. Lineage: Eukaryota; Viridiplantae; Streptophyta; Magnoliopsida; Lamiales; Lamiaceae.
AUUAAUAUAAAAAUAAAUUAAAUAUUUUAUGAAUAUUAUAUGAUUAAAUUAGCAAAUAAUAAAUAUUCUUAUUAAUGAAAAAAAUGGUACAACACAAAAUAAACUUAAAUUUAAGAGUUUGAAAUAUAACGCACAACAUAAAUCUCUAAUUUGACUAGUAAAUCAUUCUUCAUCAUUGAACGGCGGCCAAAUAUGCAACCAAAAAUAAAAAGAAAGAAAAGGAAAGAAACGUGAAUUAAGAAAAACAAAUGAAAGAAAGAAAGAAAAAGUAAAAAAAAAAGGAUAAAAAAUAAUUUAAAAUUUGAAGAGUAAAAGAAGGUGAAACCAUAUUUUCUCUGUGUUGUCUCCUCCGACUAUUUUCCCAUUCCC